AUUGAACGCUGGCGGCAGGCCUAACACAUGCAAGUCGAACGGUAACAGGGAUCAGCUUGCUGAUUCGCUGACGAGUGGCGGACGGGUGAGUAAUGUCUGGGAAACUGCCUGAUGGAGGGGGAUAACUACUGGAAACGGUAGCUAAUACCGCAUAACGUCGCAAGACCAAAGAGGGGGACCUUCGGUCCUCUUGCCAUCGGAUGUGCCCAGAUGGGAUUAGCUAGUAGGUGGGGUAACGGCUCACCUAGGCGACGAUCCCUAGCUGGUCUGAGAGGAUGACCAGCCACACUGGAACUGAGACACGGUCCAGACUCCUACGGGAGGCAGCAGUGGGGAAUAUUGCACAAUGGGCGCAAGCCUGAUGCAGCCAGGCCGCGUGUAUGAAGAAGGCCUUCGGGUUGUAAAGUACUUUCAGCGGGGAGGAAGGGAGUAAAGUUAAUACCUUUGCUCAUUGACGUUACCCGCAGAAGAAGCACCGGCUAACUCCGU
Molecule: ribosomal RNA, 489 nt
Filed under: uncultured bacterium
Lineage: Bacteria
Description: partial 16S ribosomal RNA
Rfam family: Bacterial small subunit ribosomal RNA
Source: RNAcentral